Vicia faba (fava bean) is the source of this 312-nucleotide non-coding RNA. The record is from the annotation of a GenBank genome assembly. Lineage: Eukaryota; Viridiplantae; Streptophyta; Magnoliopsida; Fabales; Fabaceae.
GUGCUUUUGUUCCUUGUGUCAUUCUUCAAGCGAGAUGGGUUUCCCACAUUUUCUAUAAGCAUCAAUCAAAGCAUUGUUGAGAAUCACAUUGGAGUGAAAUCCAACUAUAACUGCCACUACAUAAUCCUUGUUUUUAUCCAGAAACAUAUCAGCCUGAUAUGUCACCUCCCCGACAUAAUGAAAUAUUAUGAAAUUAGUUCGAGAAAGUUUCGAUUGGAUAAAGCGCUUUUUGUUCUUGAAUGUCUGGUACAACUUCUGAGCGAAUGUUUCAUGUGUAGACUUAGGAAAUAUACCAGCUUCAUUAAGAAGUGA